Molecule: ribosomal RNA, 543 nt
Filed under: Bifidobacterium breve
Lineage: Bacteria; Bacillati; Actinomycetota; Actinomycetes; Bifidobacteriales; Bifidobacteriaceae
Description: bacterial SSU rRNA
Rfam family: Bacterial small subunit ribosomal RNA
Source: RNAcentral
GGGUGGUAAUGCCGGAUGCUCCAUCACACUGCAUGGUGUGUUGGGAAAGCCUUUGCGGCAUGGGAUGGGGUCGCGUCCUAUCAGCUUGAUGGCGGGGUAACGGCCCACCAUGGCUUCGACGGGUAGCCGGCCUGAGAGGGCGACCGGCCACAUUGGGACUGAGAUACGGCCCAGACUCCUACGGGAGGCAGCAGUGGGGAAUAUUGCACAAUGGGCGCAAGCCUGAUGCAGCGACGCCGCGUGAGGGAUGGAGGCCUUCGGGUUGUAAACCUCUUUUGUUAGGGAGCAAGGCAUUUUGUGUUGAGUGUACCUUUCGAAUAAGCACCGGCUAACUACGUGCCAGCAGCCGCGGUAAUACGUAGGGUGCAAGCGUUAUCCGGAAUUAUUGGGCGUAAAGGGCUCGUAGGCGGUUCGUCGCGUCCGGUGUGAAAGUCCAUCGCUUAACGGUGGAUCCGCGCCGGGUACGGGCGGGCUUGAGUGCGGUAGGGGAGACUGGAAUUCCCGGUGUAACGGUGGAAUGUGUAGAUAUCGGGAAGAACACCA